AUCCAGUUGAUGAGUCCGAAAUAAAACGAAACACGUGUCCUGUAU
This 45-nucleotide non-coding RNA is filed under the name Schistosoma margrebowiei. Lineage: Eukaryota; Metazoa; Platyhelminthes; Trematoda; Strigeidida; Schistosomatidae. The record is from RNAcentral.